RNAcentral lists this ribosomal RNA (115 nucleotides) under Chlamydiales bacterium. The record is from RNAcentral. Lineage: Bacteria; Pseudomonadati; Chlamydiota; Chlamydiia; Chlamydiales.
AUUGGUGGCUAUAGAGAAGGGGGUAUACCUGACCCCAUUCCGAACUCAGAAGUCAAGCCCUUCUUCGCCGAUGGUACUGCGCACAAGAGUGUGGGAGAGUAGGUUGCUGCCAAUU